RNAcentral lists this ribosomal RNA (228 nucleotides) under uncultured eukaryote. RNAcentral's name for it is "partial 18S ribosomal RNA". It matches the Rfam family "Eukaryotic small subunit ribosomal RNA", at positions 1208 to 1456 of the family's 1831-position model. The record is from RNAcentral.
GGAAAUCUCACCAGGCCCGGACACUGGAAGGAUUGACAGAUUGAUAGCUCUUUCUUGAUUCGGUAGGUGGUGGUGCAUGGUUGUUCUUAGUUGGUUGAGUGAUUUGUCUUGUUAAUUCCGAUAACGAACGAGACUCUGUCCUGCUAAAUAGUGACGCGGUUCAUCGAACCGUGGGCCACUUCUUAGAGGGACUAUCGGAUUCAAACCGAUGGAAGUGUGAGGCAAUAA